UGAGAGUUCUGUGGAGGCCUUCAUAUCGAAAUGCAUGGUUUAUUUGUAAGACAGUUGAGGGAACGAGUGGACAGGGAGGACAUCAAACUCAGACAAAUACAUUCUUCAUUAGCCAAGAGAAAACAGUGGAAAAAAUGAGAGAGGAUGAAGUGGAUGCCGCCGCCCUGAUCAUAUCCUUCCUUCUCUAUAUUAAUUAUUUCAUUAAUAUAGUGUGUGAUUAUUAAUUAAGUUAUUGAUCAGUAUUUAACCACUUGGUUUGAUGCAAGAGUGGAAUGCGUAACAGUAAGCCUUUACAGGGCUGAGUCUAUUUCCUUCCCAGGUCACAGGGCCAUGUCAAAGAGGUCAGGACGACCUCCCAUCUAUGUGAGACACGAGAGAUUGGACAACAGACUGUGAUAUUAAUGUAUCUGCUUGAUAUUAAGAAAUCCUGUUUUAGCCUGUAUUUCUACUCUCUAAGAUGAGACUUGCAUAGUGUGUGUGUAACAAACCAUACUGAUAAUUUCUAGCUAGGGCUAGGCAGCCUUGAAGUUCUGAUAAGUUCUCUGCGUAUGUGUGUUAGUAUCUGUCUGUACAGGGAGAAGCUCAGACAGUCCCAGGACAAACGUUCAACUGCCGAUGUUCAGCGUAUCAGAUAUACGUCUUUGAAG
This is a long non-coding RNA of Cyprinus carpio carpio, 647 nucleotides long. Lineage: Eukaryota; Metazoa; Chordata; Actinopteri; Cypriniformes; Cyprinidae. The record is from Ensembl.